RNAcentral lists this ribosomal RNA (254 nucleotides) under Pimoa altioculata. RNAcentral's name for it is "partial 12S ribosomal RNA". Lineage: Eukaryota; Metazoa; Arthropoda; Arachnida; Araneae; Pimoidae. The record is from RNAcentral.
AAUGUGUCCUUUAAUCGACAGCCCACGUUAACUUUCACUUAUAUUAAUAUCUUAUAUACCCCCGUCUUAAGAAUAAAUUUAAAAAUUUUAUUCAAAAAAACAUCUAAAAAGUUAGGUAACGGUGUAGACUACAUAUAAGGUAAAGAUGCAUUACUAUAAAGAUAUUUAAGGAAAUUAAAGAAACCUAAAAUAGAAAUAGGAUUUAAAAGUAAUUUAUUAAUAAUAUUUAUAUUUGAAUUAAGACAAAAAUGUGC